Molecule: transfer RNA, 61 nt
Filed under: Pseudoniphargus sp. 1-Basque
Lineage: Eukaryota; Metazoa; Arthropoda; Malacostraca; Amphipoda; Allocrangonyctidae
Description: tRNA-Phe
Source: RNAcentral
AUCUUGAUAGCUUAGUUAGAGCGUUACAUUGAAGCUGUAGAGGCAGUUAAACUUCGGGGUA